GAGCCCGUAGCUCAGUUGGUAGAGCAUCUGACUUUUAAUCAGGGGGUCGCGGGUUCGAAUCCCGCCGGGCUCA
Molecule: transfer RNA, 73 nt
Filed under: alpha proteobacterium U9-1i
Lineage: Bacteria; Pseudomonadati; Pseudomonadota; Alphaproteobacteria
Also listed under: 1 other name
Rfam family: tRNA
About the family: Transfer RNA (tRNA) molecules are approximately 80 nucleotides in length.
Source: Rfam by way of RNAcentral